CGCACCUUGCGCUCCUUGGUAUUCCGAGGAGCAUGCCUGUUUGAGUGUCAUGGAAUUCUCAACUUCAUUUGCUUUUGUGAAUGAAGCUUGGACUUGGAGGUAUUGCUGGCCGUACGGUCGGCUCCUCUUGAAUUUAUUAGCUCGAGCCUUUGUGGAUCAGCUUCGGUGUGAUAAUUGUCUACGCCGUUCUGUGAAGCAUAACUAUGGGACUCGGCUUCCAAUAGUCCUUCACUGGACAAUAUCUUUGACCUUUGACCUCAAAUCAGGUAGGAUUACCCGCUGAACUUAA
This 289-nucleotide unclassified non-coding RNA is filed under the name Fomitopsis serialis. Its description in RNAcentral is "Antrodia serialis partial contains 5.8S ribosomal RNA, internal transcribed spacer 2, and large subunit ribosomal RNA". Lineage: Eukaryota; Fungi; Basidiomycota; Agaricomycetes; Polyporales; Fomitopsidaceae. The record is from RNAcentral.